GAUGAACGCUGGCGGUAUGCUUAACACAUGCAAGUCGAACGGACUCUUCGGAGUUAGUGGCGGACGGGUGAUUAACGCCUGAGAAUCUGGCUUUGGGUUCGGGGCAACCACUGGAAACGGUGGCUAAUACCGGAUGUGCCGAGAGGUGAAAGAGAAAUUGCCUGAAGAUGAGCUCGCGUCUGAUUAGCUAGUUGGUGAGGUAAAGGCUCACCAAGGCAGCGAUCAGUAGCGGGUCUGAGAGGAUGACCAGCCACGCUGGGACUGAGACACGGCCCAGACUCCUACGGGAGGCAGCAGGGGGGAAUUGUCCGCAAUGGGCGAAAGCCUGACGGAGCAGUACCGCGUGAGGGAAGAAGGCUCUUGGGUUGUAAACCUCUUUUCUUAGGGAAGAACAAAAUGACGGUACCUAAGGAAUCAGCAUCGGCUAACUCCGUG
This 435-nucleotide ribosomal RNA is filed under the name uncultured bacterium. Its description in RNAcentral is "partial 16S ribosomal RNA". It matches the Rfam family "Bacterial small subunit ribosomal RNA", at positions 28 to 507 of the family's 1533-position model. The record is from RNAcentral.